This 402-nucleotide ribosomal RNA is filed under the name uncultured bacterium. RNAcentral describes it as "bacterial SSU rRNA". It matches the Rfam family "Bacterial small subunit ribosomal RNA", at positions 355 to 774 of the family's 1533-position model. The record is from RNAcentral.
UGGGGAAUAUUGGACAAUGGGCGCAAGCCUGAUCCAGCCAUGCCGCGUGAGUGAUGAAGGCCUUAGGGUUGUAAAGCUCUUUUAGCAGGGAAGAUAAUGACGGUACCUGCAGAAAAAGCCCCGGCUAACUUCGUGCCAGCAGCCGCGGUAAUACGAAGGGGGCUAGCGUUGCUCGGAAUUACUGGGCGUAAAGCGCACGUAGGCGGACUCUUAAGUCGGUGGUGAAAUCCUGGAGCUCAACUCCAGAACUGCCUUCGAUACUGGGAGUCUUGAGUUCGGGAGAGGUGAGUGGAACUGCGAGUGUAGAGGUGAAAUUCGUAGAGAUCGGGAGGAACAUCUGUGGCGAAGGCGACUGCCUGGACCAGCACUGACACUGAGGCACGAAAGCGUGGGGAGCAAACA